This 379-nucleotide ribosomal RNA is filed under the name uncultured bacterium. RNAcentral describes it as "partial 16S ribosomal RNA". It matches the Rfam family "Bacterial small subunit ribosomal RNA", at positions 527 to 905 of the family's 1533-position model. The record is from RNAcentral.
GNAGGNGGCAAGCGNNGUCCGGAANNACUGGGUGUAAAGGGAGCGUAGGCGGGGAGGCAAGNUGAAUGUCUAAACNAUCGGCUUAACUGAUAGUCGCGUUCAAAACNGCCACUCUNGAGUGCAGUAGAGGUAGGCGGAAUUCCUAGUGUAGCGGUGAAAUGCGNAGAUAUUAGGAGGAACACCAGUGGCGAAGGCGGCCUACUGGGCUGUAACUGACGCUGAGGCUCGAAAGCGUGGGUAGCAAACAGGAUUAGAUACCCUGGUAGUCCACGCCGUAAACGNUGAUUACUAGGUGUGGGGGGACUGACCCCUUUCCGUGCCGGAGUUAACGCAAUAAGUACUCCGCCUGAGUAGUACGUUCGCAAGAAUGAAACUCAAA